UCCUACGGGAGGCAGCAGUGGGGAAUCUUGCACAAUGGAGGAAACUCUGAUGCAGCGAUGCCGCGUGAGUGAAGAAGGCCCUUGGGUUGUAAAGCUCUUUCGUCGGGGAAGAAAAUGACUGUACCCGAAUAAGAAGGUCCGGCUAACUUCGUGCCAGCAGCCGCGGUAAUACGAAGGGACCUAGCGUAGUUCGGAAUUACUGGGCUUAAAGAGUUCGUAGGUGGUUGAAAAAGUUAGUGGUGAAAUCCCAGAGCUUAACUCUGGAACUGCCAUUAAAACUUUUCAGCUAGAGUAUGAUAGAGGAAAGCAGAAUUUCUAGUGUAGAGGUGAAAUUCGUAGAUAUUAGAAAGAAUACCAAUUGCGAAGGCAGCUUUCUGGAUCAUUACUGACACUGAGGAACGAAAGCAUGGGUAGCGAAGAGGAUUAGAUACCCUCGUAGUCCAUGCCGUAAACGAUGUGUGUUAGACGUUGGAAAUUUAUUUUCAGUGUCGCAGCGAAAGCGAUAAACACACCGCCUGGGGAGUACGACCGCAAGGUUAAAACUCAAAUGAAUUGACGGA
Molecule: ribosomal RNA, 560 nt
Filed under: uncultured bacterium
Lineage: Bacteria
Description: bacterial SSU rRNA
Rfam family: Bacterial small subunit ribosomal RNA
Source: RNAcentral